Molecule: ribosomal RNA, 440 nt
Filed under: uncultured bacterium
Lineage: Bacteria
Description: partial 16S ribosomal RNA
Rfam family: Bacterial small subunit ribosomal RNA
Source: RNAcentral
CCUACGGGGUGCAGCAGUGGGGAAUAUUGCACAAUGGUGGAAACCCUGAUGCAGCGACGCCGCGUGAAGGAUGGAGUUUUUCGGUAUGUAAACUCCUAUCAGCAGGGAAGAAAAUGACGGUACCUGACUAAGAAGCCCCGGCUAACUACGUGCCAGCAGCCGCGGUAAUACGUCGGGGGCAAGCGUUAUCCGGAUUUACUGGGCGUAAAGGGAGCGUAGACGGUAUGGCAAGUCUGAUGUGAAAACCCGGGGCUCAACCCCGGGACUGCAUUUGAAACUGCCGAACUAGAGUGUCGGAGAGGCAAGUGGAAUGCCUGGUGUAGCGGUGAAAUGCGUAGAUAUUAGGAGGAACACCAGUGGCGAAGGCGGCUUGCUGGACGAUGACUGACGUUGAGGCUCGAAAGCGUGGGGAGCAAACAGGAUUAGAUACCCGUGUAGUC